This 484-nucleotide ribosomal RNA is filed under the name uncultured bacterium. Its description in RNAcentral is "partial 16S ribosomal RNA". It matches the Rfam family "Bacterial small subunit ribosomal RNA", at positions 29 to 507 of the family's 1533-position model. The record is from RNAcentral.
AUUGAACGCUGGCGGCAUACUUUACACAUGCAAGUCGAACGGCAGCGCGGGCUUCGGCCUGGCGGCGAGUGGCGAACGGGUGAGUAAUACAUCGGAACGUGCCCAGUAGUGGGGGAUAGCUCGGCGAAAGCCGGAUUAAUACCGCAUACGACCUGAGGGUGAAAGCGGGGGAUCUUCGGACCUCGCGCUAUUGGAGCGGCCGAUGGCAGAUUAGCUAGUUGGUGGGGUAAAGGCCUACCAAGGCGACGAUCUGUAGCUGGUCUGAGAGGACGACCAGCCACACUGGGACUGAGACACGGCCCAGACUCCUACGGGAGGCAGCAGUGGGGAAUUUUGGACAAUGGGCGAAAGCCUGAUCCAGCAAUGCCGCGUGUGUGAUGAAGGCCUUCGGGUUGUAAAGCACUUUUGGCGGGAACGAAAAGGACUGUGCCAAUACCACGGUUCGAUGACGGUACCCGCAGAAUAAGCACCGGCUAACUACGUG